GUUUGAAUCUCUCAUAAAAUUCAUGAUUUCUUCUUUAGAUUUUCUGAUUAGCUCAUUAGAUUUUCUUAUUAGCUUUUUGUUAGAUAUUUCUUUCAAACUUUGUGCUUGGAGGUAGUUGGCCAGCUUAUAAAUGAGCCGGAUUUUAUUGAGCUGAGCUCCGAUUAGUUCAUCCUAUUUGGAGACUAUUAUUAACAAUAAUCAUUCCCUUCAACAUGUUAUUUUUUAUUUUAAUUUUAGAUGGUUGUGUGUGCAUGAAUAUAUUCGGCAGGUAAAAGAAAGAAAGGAGAGGG
This 290-nucleotide unclassified non-coding RNA is filed under the name Hevea brasiliensis (rubber tree). Lineage: Eukaryota; Viridiplantae; Streptophyta; Magnoliopsida; Malpighiales; Euphorbiaceae. The record is from RNAcentral.